CGGCCACUAUCACGCUCAAGUGAUUAAGCUUUACGGCACCGAGGAUGAUGCAAGGAAUGCAACAGAAAGACGACCAUCCAUUCCGCAGACCCGAUUGCGACUCCUCCGAUAGCUGCAGUUCAAAUGAAGUGGACAAUGAGUCGUUU
Rhipicephalus microplus (southern cattle tick) is the source of this 146-nucleotide long non-coding RNA. The record is from RefSeq and is a predicted model, not a curated record. NCBI's taxonomy places the organism in Eukaryota, Metazoa, Arthropoda, Arachnida, Ixodida, Ixodidae.